AUUGAACGCUGGCGGCAUGCCUUACACAUGCAAGUCGAACGGCAGCACGGGUGCUUGCACCUGGUGGCGAGUGGCGAACGGGUGAGUAAUACAUCGGAACGUACCUUAUCGUGGGGGAUAACGCAGCGAAAGCUGUGCUAAUACCGCAUACGCCCUGAGGGGGAAAGCGGGGGAUCGCAAGACCUCGCGCGAUUAGAGCGGCCGAUGCCUGAUUAGCUUGUUGGUGGGGUAAAAGCCCACCAAGGCGACGAUCAGUAGCUGGUCUGAGAGGACGAUCAGCCACGCUGGGACUGAGACACGGCCCAGACUCCUACGGGAGGCAGCAGUGGGGAAUUUUGGACAGUGGGGGCAACCCUGAUCCAGCAAUGCCGCGUGAGUGAAGAAGGCCUUCGGGUUGUAAAGCUCUUUUGUCAGGGAAGAAACACCGGCUCUAACACAGUCCGGGAAUGACGGUACCUGAAGAAUAAGCACCGGCUAACUACGUGCCAGCCGCCGCGGUAA
Molecule: ribosomal RNA, 501 nt
Filed under: uncultured bacterium
Lineage: Bacteria
Description: partial 16S ribosomal RNA
Rfam family: Bacterial small subunit ribosomal RNA
Source: RNAcentral